GGCCUACGGGGCGCAGCAGUGGGGGAUAUUGCACAAUGGGGGGAACCCUGAUGCAGCGACGCCGCGUGGGUGAAGAAGCGCCUCGGCGCGUAAAGCCCUGUCAGCAGGGAAGAAAAUGACGGUACCUGAAGAAGAAGCCCCGGCUAACUACGUGCCAGCAGCCGCGGUAAUACGUAGGGGGCAAGCGUUAUCCGGAUUUACUGGGUGUAAAGGGGGCGCAGACGGCGAUGCAAGCCAGGAGUGAAAGCCCGGGGCUCAACCCCGGCGAGCCGUUGAAACUGUCGGACUAGAGACGGCGAGAAGUA
RNAcentral lists this ribosomal RNA (305 nucleotides) under uncultured bacterium. Its description in RNAcentral is "bacterial SSU rRNA". It matches the Rfam family "Bacterial small subunit ribosomal RNA", at positions 335 to 659 of the family's 1533-position model. The record is from RNAcentral.